This 339-nucleotide long non-coding RNA is filed under the name Panax ginseng (ginseng). RNAcentral describes it as "long non-coding RNA (PGIN_LNC004548)". Lineage: Eukaryota; Viridiplantae; Streptophyta; Magnoliopsida; Apiales; Araliaceae. The record is from RNAcentral.
AAAAAUUACAACUAUAAUAAAAUUUUCCAUUUUGACUUGAUGUUGUUCACUUCUUGUUGUGAUUUGAUAUGCUACACUCUGUAUUAUGAAUAUGGUAAAUCAUUAGAAAAAUAAAUAUAUCAAGAUUUGGUUUGGGUAGUUAUUAGAAUAAAAAAACCUCUAAGCCUAGACCCCACCUAGGCAUCGCCUAAUUUCUUGGAGAGGUUUUUUUGCCUCUUUGGGCCCAAGUGAGGCGCUAGUGGGGUCUAGCACCUAGGCGAGGCGCUAAGGGGGAGCCUAGGGCCUAGGCGGGGCGCCAAGAGGGGGCCUAGCGCCUAGGUGGAGAUUUUUAGAACACUG